UGGGGAAUAUUGCACAAUGGGCGCAAGCCUGAUGCAGCAACGCCGCGUGAACGAUGAAGGUCUUCGGAUCGUAAAGUUCUGUUGCAGGGGAAGAUAAUGACGGUACCCUGUUAGGAAGCCCCGGCUAACUACGUGCCAGCAGCCGCGGUAAUACGUAGGGGGCUAGCGUUAUCCGGAUUUACUGGGCGUAAAGGGUGCGUAGGUGGUCUUUCAAGUCGGUGGUUAAAGGCUACGGCUCAACCGUAGUUAGCCUCCGAAACUGGAAGACUUGAGUGCAGGAGAGGAAAGUGGAAUUCCCAGUGUAGCGGUGAAAUGCGUAGAUAUUGGGAGGAACACCAGUAGCGAAGGCGGCUUUCUGGACUGCAACUGACACUGAGGCACGAAAGCGUGGGUAGCAAACAGG
RNAcentral lists this ribosomal RNA (403 nucleotides) under Verrucomicrobiota bacterium. Its description in RNAcentral is "Verrucomicrobia bacterium partial 16S ribosomal RNA". It matches the Rfam family "Bacterial small subunit ribosomal RNA", at positions 355 to 776 of the family's 1533-position model. The record is from RNAcentral. Lineage: Bacteria; Pseudomonadati; Verrucomicrobiota.